RNAcentral lists this ribosomal RNA (420 nucleotides) under bacterium. RNAcentral describes it as "partial 16S ribosomal RNA". It matches the Rfam family "Bacterial small subunit ribosomal RNA", at positions 355 to 776 of the family's 1533-position model. The record is from RNAcentral.
UGGGGGAUAUUGCACAAUGGGCGAAAGCCUGAUGCAGCGACGCCGCGUGGGGGAUGAAGGCUUUCGGGUUGUAAACCUCUUUCGCUAUCGAACAAGGCCCGCUUAGGGUGGGUUGAGGGUAGGUGGAGAAGAAGCGCCGGCUAACUACGUGCCAGCAGCCGCGGUAAUACGUAGGGCGCGAGCGUUGUCCGGAAUUAUUGGGCGUAAAGGUGUGUUAGGCGGCUUGUUGCGCCUGCUGUGAAAACGCGGGGCUUAACUUCGCGCGUGCAGUGGGUACGGGCAGGCUUGAGUGUGGUAGGGGUGACUGGAAUUCCAGGUGUAGCGGUGGAAUGCGCAGAUAUCUGGAUGAACACCGAUGGCGAAGGCAGGUCACUGGGCCAUUACUGACGCUGAGGAGCGAAAGCAUGGGUAGCGAACAGG